AUACGGAGGAUCCGAGCGUUAUCCGGAUUUAUUGGGUUUAAAGGGUGCGCAGGCGGCCAUCUAAGUCAGCGGUUAAAUCGUGGGGCUCAACCCCGUUCUGCCGUUGAUACUGGGUGGCUUGAUUGCGGUCGAGGUUGGCGGAAUUCGUUGUGUAGCGGUGAAAUGCAUAGAUAUGACGAAGAACACCGAUUGCGUAGGCAGCUGACCAGACCGCAAAUGACGCUCAUGCACGAAAGUGCGGGGAUCGAACAGGAUUAGAUACCCUGGUAGUCCGCACAGUAAACGAUGAAUACUUGUUUUCGGCGAUAUAAUGUCGGAGGCAAAGCGAAAGCGAUAAGUAUUCCCCCUGGGGAGUACGCCGGCAACGGUGAAACUCAAAUGAAUUGGCGGGG
RNAcentral lists this ribosomal RNA (392 nucleotides) under uncultured bacterium. RNAcentral's name for it is "partial 16S ribosomal RNA". It matches the Rfam family "Bacterial small subunit ribosomal RNA", at positions 523 to 918 of the family's 1533-position model. The record is from RNAcentral.